This is a long non-coding RNA of Chiroxiphia lanceolata (lance-tailed manakin), 421 nucleotides long. RefSeq lists it as uncharacterized. NCBI's taxonomy places the organism in Eukaryota, Metazoa, Chordata, Aves, Passeriformes, Pipridae. The transcript is spliced from 3 exons. The record is from RefSeq and is a predicted model, not a curated record.
CACACUGCACUACCCUGACAGUGGUCCAUGCUGCAUCUUAGGAACGUCAUAUUUCCUAUGAAGACCAAUUGCACGGCUCCACAGCUGUAUGUGACACAGACCACAUAUUGCAGGAAUGGAGAGUUCCUAAACCCAUAACUUCAAGUCAUGAAGGAGAUGGCAAAUCCCUUAGCUGACUUCUAGCAAAAUUCCUUUUCCCUGAAAAACUUUUCAAGCCAACCACAAAAUCAGUUGGCUGAUAGGAUCAUCAGGCUCCAAAACUUCACAUUUCAACCAAACCACCAGGUUUUCAGAGAGGCCUAAAAACCUUCUGCAAAUAAAAGCAUAAGGACAUCCUUCCUGAACGAGCUGCGCUUACGUGUAACAGCUCCACGAAAUUAAGUUACUUACUUACCCAGCUAAAAAGGCAGAGGUAAAUCCA